CCUACGGGAGGCAGCAGUGGGGAAUAUUGCACAAUGGGGGAAACCCUGAUGCAGCGACGCCGCGUGAGUGAAGAAGUAAUUCGUUACGUAAAGCUCUAUCAGCAGGGAAGAAAUACUGACCUUACGGUCAGCAGACGGUACCUGAGUAAGAAGCCCCGGCUAACUACGUGCCAGCAGCCGCGGUAAUACGUAGGGGGCAAGCGUUAUCCGGAAUUACUGGGUGUAAAGGGAGCGUAGACGGUUAAGUAAGUCUGGAGUGAAAGGCCGGGGCCCAACCCCGGGACUGCUCUGGAAACUAUUGAACU
RNAcentral lists this ribosomal RNA (305 nucleotides) under uncultured bacterium. RNAcentral's name for it is "bacterial SSU rRNA". It matches the Rfam family "Bacterial small subunit ribosomal RNA", at positions 338 to 642 of the family's 1533-position model. The record is from RNAcentral.